UACGAAGGGGGCUAGCGUUGCUCGGAAUCACUGGGCGUAAAGGGUGCGUAGGCGGGUCUUUAAGUCAGGGGUGAAAUCCUGGAGCCCAACUCCAGAACUGCCUUUGAUACUGAGGAUCUUGAGUUCGGGAGAGGUGAGUGGAACUGCGAGUGUAGAGGUGAAAUUCGUAGAUAUUCGCAAGAACACCAGUGGCGAAGGCGGCUCACUGGCCCGAUACUGACGCUGAGGCACGAAAGCGUGGGGAGCAAACAGG
RNAcentral lists this ribosomal RNA (253 nucleotides) under uncultured bacterium. RNAcentral describes it as "partial 16S ribosomal RNA". It matches the Rfam family "Bacterial small subunit ribosomal RNA", at positions 524 to 776 of the family's 1533-position model. The record is from RNAcentral.